ACAGCUAACUUUCAUAAUGGUUCUAUCGGGCCAUUCAGCGAUGUCAUUUGCUUUCCAGAGUUCUGAACGCAGGCCCUGUCAAGCAUGGAUGUGCUGCCCUGUCAGCGGUGCCCUGCAUGGACCAGAGUGUCUCCCUCCUCCACAGCCCCCUUCCCAGCUCUCCACUCAUCCCACAGGAAAUGCCACGGUUUGCACAGUGCUGGCAGGUCUUGGUGAUGAGUGGUUUCCAGGCACCUCGGCCAACCGCCCUCCGACUACACGCGGUGCUCCUUGCUUCCACCUUGGUGUUCAAAUAUCCACAGCUCCUGGUAUUUAUCUGAUUGCCUCUUUACGCUAAAAUGUCACAUCUUGCCCGACGCUGCAUGGGAGCAGCUAAAUAUCUGGAAUAAUCAGUUCAUUGGAUUUACCUGGACUUUGCAUAAUUUAUCUGAUGCUUCUUGAAUCCUUCCUAUGUAGUUCAGUAAGAUCAUCGUGUUAGCAUUGGAUGUACACAGCCUUUCCUUACGGAGGGUCAGGUUGACUGAUUACCACAGAAUUAUCUUCCUUGUAGCUUUAAUGAGUUGGAAGGUCACUUGUUCCAGUGUGUUCUCAGGCACUGACACGCACAUGCUUUCUACAGCUUACGCUGAGAAGGGAGAGAGCCACUCACGAGCCAGUUCCCUUUGAAGAUGACUCUGGUCCAAUCAAAAUGUGUUCCCACAGCCACGCCCAUUGGAACGGGCCCACGGUUCCGAGCUGAAGGAUGACUGUUGAACUUCUCAGCAGAAUUGCCAUUUUACACGUGAAUGGCAAGACACGAUUUUCCAUGAAAAACAGUUUUUUCACGUACCAGCUGGGCUUGAGAUACCAUCAAACUGUGACUCAAGUGUCUAGAAAUAUGAAAAUACAGAAUACAGUAAGAGCUCUCUAAGCAAAUCUCUCCUUAGCUAACCUGUCAGAUAAACACACUCCGCUGUUGUAUUUGGCCCCGGUACCGAAGCUCAUUCCCAAUCUGAACUUCUGGGCUCGAUUCCUGCUUCCAAAAGGGACAAAUGUCAAAACAUUCUCUGACAAGCCAGAUAUCAAGGAACAGCAUCGGUCUGUAGCAACAGAAGAGGUUCCGACAACAGUAACAGCUGUGAGCACACACAGUAGGCGCUCAGCGCGUGUCUGCUAAAUGAACAACGAACUGACAGCUCCCGAAAGCUGAAGACGUGGGGAUCCCCAUCUAUCCCUACGAGAGAGCAGGGAGACGGUUUCCAGCAGGCAGCCUUGGGUCCUGGAACUCCCCUCCCCCCGCCCCACAAGCCCUGCAAGGUUAGACGGCAAAGAAAGAUCAAGAACACAGGAUGCCAGUCUGUCAUCUGGGAGCACCUGUUUGAGGACCACUUCCACAGCAACGGAAGCUGGCCCCAAUACUUGGGCCCCUGCCACCCACAUGACAGGCCCGAAUGGAGUCCCAGGCUCCUGGCUUCGGCGUGGCCCAGCCCUGGCUGCUGCCGCCAUUCGGGGGAACGAACCAGCAGAUGCAAGAUUGCUCCGGCUCUGUCACUCUGCCUUUCAGAUAAAUAAAACGGAUCUUUCAAAACAAGAAACAAAAAAGGUAGAACACAAGGGAGCAGCAUCUUCCACUCACUGACCAGGAGAGCCAAACUCCUUGACUUGGCCUUAUCUUGUUUUAAGCGCCUCAGCGCCCACGCCCACGCCAUUCCCUAGGGUCUCGGAUGGAGAAUUUCCUGCAUGGUUUGCUGGCUUUCUGUGGCCUAACCCUGUGGUCUAUAUUGCUACCAAACAGCCAGGUAAAGAAAUCCGCCCCUCCCCCGCCACCCUAGCCCUGUUAAUAAACACCCAACAGCAGCGGCUUUCAGGGCCCCCCUCGGGAGCUGGGAGCUCACUGCAGGGUGAGAGGCAGCAGCUGCUCCAGCCAAGCCACGAAGCGGGGCUCUCCUCUGUCAGCAGGCUUCGUCCCCAGCACAGAACUAACGCGGCCGCCACGCUCGCAUUCCUGCUGUCACCAUCACUGACCAGGGCGACGCCCGAGGGGGGCCAUCCAGGAGACAGCCAGCAGGCAGCGCUCAGUCACCGACAACUCUCUUAAUACAGCCCAGACAUUCCGUAUGCGUCAAGCAGCAACGCACGGCCACUCCACAAAUGGGCACUCCAAGGAGGACGCGCAGCCGGAGAGAGCCGCAUCUCCAGGCCGGCUGAAGCCUCGCUCCCCUGAGCUCCUGCCCCCAGAUAUCCACAGAGACCAAACCCGCCCCUCCUCCUCCGAUCUUGCUUUCUGGCAAGAAUGUGUGUGUGUAUGUAUGUAUGUGUGUGUGCACGUGUAUGUAUACAGGUAUGUGUACAUGUGUGUACAGGCAUGUGCAUGUAUGUAUAGACAUGUGCACAUGACUAUGCAUGUACAGGUGUAUGUAUGUACAGGUGUAUGUAUGUGUGCAUGCAUGCAUGUGCGUGUAUGUAUAGAAGCGUGCAUGUGUGUAUGCACAGGUGUGUGUAUACAUGUGUGUAAAGGUAUGUGCAUAUAUGUAUAGACAUGUGCACAUGUCUAUGCAUGUACAGGUGUGCGUAUGUACAGGUGUAUGUAUGUACCAGUGUGUAUUGUGUGCAUGCAUGCAUGUAUGUAUAGAUGUGUGCACAUGUGUGUAUACAGCUGUGUAUACAUGUGUGUACAAGCAUGUACGUAUAUGCAUAGAUGUGCGUGCAUGUCUAUGUAUGUACAUAUGUGUGUAUGUACAUGUGUGUAUAUGUGUACGUGUAUGCAUGUGUGUAUAGAUUGUGCACAUGUGUGCACAUGUGUGUAUACAUGCAUGUACAAGCAUGCACGUAUAUGUAUAGAUGUGUGUGCAUGUCUAUGUGUGUACAGGUGUGUGUAUAUGUGUGCAUACAGGCAUUACGUGCAUGUAUAGAUGUGUGUAUGUAAGGUGUGCAUGCAUGUGUGUACAGACAU
Molecule: non-coding RNA, 2932 nt
Organism: Oryctolagus cuniculus (rabbit)
Lineage: Eukaryota; Metazoa; Chordata; Mammalia; Lagomorpha; Leporidae
Source: RefSeq, a predicted model, not a curated record